GAGCAUUUUCUGCAGGUGCUCAGUAAAGACUGGCUGAAUGAGGGAAGCAAUUCCAGAUGCUGACAACUGUGCAGUUUUCCACAGUAGGAUCUACUCUGACAACCACUGCUGAGGGAAAUACUGGAACACCUGCGUUUCAGACAAGGACACUGAGACCCAGCUGAAGGAAAGUCUUGAUUAACCAGCUGGUACAAUAUCACACAGUUGGCUGGUGGUCAAGUUGAAAUUUCAGUUUGUGAGUUCAAGCCCCACAUCGCC
Molecule: long non-coding RNA, 258 nt
Organism: Hyaena hyaena (striped hyena)
Lineage: Eukaryota; Metazoa; Chordata; Mammalia; Carnivora; Hyaenidae
Exons: 3
Source: RefSeq, a predicted model, not a curated record